CAGCCGCCGCGGUAAUACGAAGGGUGCAAGCGUUAAUCGGAUUUACUGGGCGUAAAGGGCGCGUAGGUGGUUAUUUAAGUGAGAUGUGAAAGCCCCGGGCUUAACCUGGGAACUGCAUCUUAUACUGGGUAACUGGAGUGCAGUAGAGGGUAGUGGAAUUUCCGGUGUAGCGGUGAAAUGCGUAGAUAUCGGAAGGAACACCAGUGGCGAAGGCGGCUACCUGGACUGAGACUGACACUGAGGCGCGAGAGCGUGGGGAGCAAACAGGAUUAGAUACCCCCGUAGUCCCUGUCUCUUAUAC
This 301-nucleotide ribosomal RNA is filed under the name uncultured bacterium. RNAcentral's name for it is "partial 16S ribosomal RNA". It matches the Rfam family "Bacterial small subunit ribosomal RNA", at positions 509 to 807 of the family's 1533-position model. The record is from RNAcentral.